UUUUAUGUUAAUGUACAAGUGUAUUCUUUACUUAUAUUUUGUUUUACAUUAAAACUCAACAAGACAUUCUGGUAGAUUUGUACUAUCUCUUUUGUUGCUAAGCAUUAUAAUUAUUUCUUUAAACAUUAUACAUAUUUAACUGACUACUUUGUGUUUUAGAUGGCAGUACAGCAGAUCACUCGAGGCAUGCUGAGACAUGAAUUAACAUUUCUAUCACUUUGGAAAGUUACAACAUCUUCCGUUGAAAAUUGGAAUAGAAGAUGGCAGUAUAUCAGAUCAAUCGAGGCACGCUGAGACACGAAUUCACAUUUCUACCACCAAGGAAAGUAUCAACAUACUAUGUUGAAAAUGGACUAGAAGAUACUGAUAAUAAUAUUGGAUUUAUGCAAUAUGGCAGUACAGCAGAUCAUUCGAUACAUGCUGAGACAAGAAUUCACAUUUCUACCACCAUGCUAAAUAUCAAUAUGCUACGUUGAAAAUUGUACUAGACGGUACUGCUAAUAAUAAUGGUUUUGUGCAACGUGCGUGUAAUGGAUGGCAGUACAGCAGAUCAUUCAAUACACGCUGAGACAUGAAUUCACAUUUCUACCACUAUGCUAAAUAUCAAUAUGCUACGUUGCAAAUUGUACUGACAUUGUAUUGACGUUCAAAUAUUACAUUUAAGAUGAUACUUCAUACACACAAUAAAACAUGAUUUUACAUGAUGGCAGUACAGCAGAUCACUCGAGGCAUGCUGAGACAUGAAUUAACAUUUCUAUCACUUUGGAAAGUUACAACAUCUUCCGUUGAAAAUUGGAAUAGAAGAUGGCAGUAUAUCAGAUCAAUCGAGGCACGCUGAGACACGAAUUCACAUUUCUACCACCAAGGAAAGUAUCAACAUACUAUGUUGAAAAUGGACUAGAAGAUACUGAUAAUAAUAUUGGAUUUAUGCAAUGUGCGUGCAAUGGUUAUUGAAUAUAAUUGAUACUAAAUUAAUAGCUGUGAAACAAUUGAGAUUUGUUAAAUAUCUGAAUAAAAUAAUAGUAAACAACUUUA
Molecule: long non-coding RNA, 1035 nt
Organism: Rhopalosiphum padi (bird cherry-oat aphid)
Lineage: Eukaryota; Metazoa; Arthropoda; Insecta; Hemiptera; Aphididae
Exons: 6
Source: RefSeq, a predicted model, not a curated record